UGCCGCGUGCAGGAUGAAGGCGUUAUGCGUUGUAAACUGCUUUUAUAUAGGAAGAAAUAGACCUUGCGAGGUAAGUUGACGGUACUAUAUGAAUAAGCACCGGCUAACUCCGUGCCAGCAGCCGCGGUAAUACGGAGGGUGCAAGCGUUGUCCGGAUUUAUUGGGUUUAAAGGGUGCGUAGGCGGUUUAUUAAGUCAGUGGUGAAAGACGGUCGCUCAACGAUUGCAGUGCCAUUGAUACUGGUAGACUUGAGUGGGAUUGAGGUAGCUGGAAUGGAUAGUGUAGCGGUGAAAUGCAUAGAUAUUAUCCAGAACACCAAUUGCGUAGGCAAGUUACUAAGUCUCAACUGACGCUGAGGCACGAAAGUGUGGGUAUCAAACAGGAUUAGAUACCCUGGUAGUCCACACUGUAAACGAUGAUAACUAACUGUUGGCUUUCGGGUCAGUGGUACAGAGAAAUCGUUAAGU
RNAcentral lists this ribosomal RNA (467 nucleotides) under Arcicella sp. Its description in RNAcentral is "bacterial SSU rRNA". It matches the Rfam family "Bacterial small subunit ribosomal RNA", at positions 395 to 865 of the family's 1533-position model. Lineage: Bacteria; Pseudomonadati; Bacteroidota; Cytophagia; Cytophagales; Flectobacillaceae. The record is from RNAcentral.